RNAcentral lists this long non-coding RNA (1121 nucleotides) under Equus caballus (horse). RNAcentral describes it as "lncRNA (ENSECAG00000057699.1)". Lineage: Eukaryota; Metazoa; Chordata; Mammalia; Perissodactyla; Equidae. The record is from RNAcentral.
CAAGUACAAGGUAGUAUGACAGCCCAAAAAGCCGCAAAUAGCGUAGCUGAGGGAAUAGUUGGGAAAUCUUUCCAGAAGUAAAAUCUAAGCUCAUCUUUGAAACUUGGACAAGAAUUAACCAAAUAAGAAGGAUACUACAGAUAGUGCUACAGGACUGUUGAAAGGCCUCACAUGAAAGAACAGAAAUGAAAUAGGCUUGAAAAAUAGAAAACAAUGUACAAUGAAAAGAGUUGUUUUGGUUAUGUUUGUUUAGCGCACAUUUUCUAAGGAAGAAUGGCAAGAAAAGCUAACCAUAAAUUGAUUAUGCAUCUUUUCCAUUUUUCUGGACCAAACUUUACCUGAGGGGCAAGAAUGUCGUUUGAAUAUAAGAACUUUUUACUCAUAUAAAGACAUGUUCAACUUCUUUUUCAAUGCAUACUUCAUCAUCCAAGAGUAGUUUCUAAUGGAGUUUAAUGAAGACACUGGAGAAAGAAUGAAAAUACUUAUUUCUGUUUUUGUUUCACAUUGGAGUGGAAGCUAAUGAGUAUCGUCUCAAGUCCUUUGGGGAAAAAACAUCCAAGGAAACAUCACUGACAGAAGCAGCCUCAAUUCUCUACUCAGCAUGACGUUAUCUGCAUAAAAGUGACCAGUUAAUUUUUAACAAAAAAUCUUUUAUUUGUUUUCUGCAGCUGUAGAUUACAGGAAUAUCAACUAGAAUAGGUUCUAAGCCAAGGCAAGUGUUAUAACCUUUCUUUUUGCUAUUUGUGUGUUGCCGCGGUAGCUAAUUUCAGAAGAGGAGUUUGCAGUUAAAUUUGAUGGAGCACACCACAUCUGCUCAAUUCCAGUCAGAUUCUAAUGGUGCUGCCAAAAGGCUGUGUUAGAAUUAUAAGAGAAUCUUCUCCAAACUCAAAUAGAUGGAGGAUAGGCAUCGUAAUAGACUCUUGGGUCACCGAAUCUGGCAAGAACGUACCCUAAAGGUUGGAUCACAGAAAAAUAGUUGGACUUGGUACAAAUAUAAAAAAAAUCCCUUUAGAGUUUUUUAUAGGAAAUAAUUUAAUCUUGAGUUCUUCUGAAGAAAAAAUUUCUGAUAAUACUAGGAUGUUAAUUUCCUUCCUCUCUGAAGCAAGCUAAAAUUCUUGAAG